UGGGGAAUAUUGCACAAUGGGGAAAGCCCUGAUGCAGCAACGCCGCGUGAGUGAAGAAGUAUUUCGGUAUGUAAAGCUCUAUCAGCAGGGAAGAAAGUGACGGUACCUGACUAAGAAGCCCCGGCUAACUACGUGCCAGCAGCCGCGGUAAUACGUAGGGGCAAGCGUUAUCCGGAUUUACUGGGUGUAAAGGGAGCGUAGACGGCACAGCAAGUCUGAAGUGAAAUCCCGGCUCAGCCGGAACCGAUGCUUUGGAAACUGUUGGGCUGGAGUGUUGGAGAGGCAAGCGGAAUUCCUAGUGUAGCGGUGAAAUGCGUAGAUAUUAGGAGGAACACCAGUGGCGAAGGCGGCUUGCUGGACAAUCACUGACGUUGAGGCUCGAAAGCGUGGGGAGCAAACAGGAUUAGAUACC
This 412-nucleotide ribosomal RNA is filed under the name uncultured bacterium. RNAcentral's name for it is "bacterial SSU rRNA". It matches the Rfam family "Bacterial small subunit ribosomal RNA", at positions 355 to 786 of the family's 1533-position model. The record is from RNAcentral.